This 327-nucleotide ribosomal RNA is filed under the name uncultured bacterium. Its description in RNAcentral is "bacterial SSU rRNA". It matches the Rfam family "Bacterial small subunit ribosomal RNA", at positions 8 to 334 of the family's 1533-position model. The record is from RNAcentral.
AGGGUUCGAUUAUGGCUCAGGACGAACGCUGGCGGCGUGCCUAACACAUGCAAGUCGAACGGAGUUGAGCCCUUCGGGACUUAACUUAGUGGCGAACGGGUGAGUAACGCGUGAGGAACCUGCCUUUCAGUGGGGGACAACAGUUGGAAACGACUGCUAAUACCGCAUAAUGCUUUUUGAUGGCAUCAUUGAAAAGCCAAAGAUUUAUUGCUGAAAGAUGGCCUCGCGUCUGAUUAGCUAGUUGGUGGGGUAACGGCCCACCAAGGCGACGAUCAGUAGCCGGUCUGAGAGGAUGAACGGCCACAUUGGGACUGAGAUACGGCCCAG